RNAcentral lists this transfer RNA (77 nucleotides) under Deltaproteobacteria bacterium. RNAcentral's name for it is "tRNA-Trp". It matches the Rfam family "tRNA". From Rfam's summary of the family: Transfer RNA (tRNA) molecules are approximately 80 nucleotides in length. Their secondary structure includes four short double-helical elements and three loops (D, anti-codon, and T loops). The record is from RNAcentral. Lineage: Bacteria; Pseudomonadati; Myxococcota; Myxococcia.
AGGCCCUUAUGUUUCAAGGUUGACGAGUUGGACUCCAAAUCCGACUGUGCAAGGUUCGAUUCCUUGAGGGUCUGCCA